GAUGAACGCUGGCGGCGUGCUUAACACAUGCAAGUCGAACGAUGAACCUCACUUGUGGGGGGAUUAGUGGCGAACGGGUGAGUAACACGUGAGUAACCUGCCCUUAACUCUGGGAUAAGCCUGGGAAACUGGGUCUAAUACCGGAUAUGACUCCUCAUCGCAUGGUGGGGGGUGGAAAGCUUUAUUGUGGUUUUGGAUGGACUCGCGGCCUAUCAGCUUGUUGGUGAGGUAAUGGCUCACCAAGGCGACGACGGGUAGCCGGCCUGAGAGGGUGACCGGCCACACUGGGACUGAGACACGGCCCAGACUCCUACGGGAGGCUG
Molecule: ribosomal RNA, 323 nt
Filed under: uncultured Actinomycetes bacterium
Lineage: Bacteria; Bacillati; Actinomycetota; Actinomycetes
Description: bacterial SSU rRNA
Rfam family: Bacterial small subunit ribosomal RNA
Source: RNAcentral